This 747-nucleotide long non-coding RNA is filed under the name Brassica napus (rape). Its description in RNAcentral is "long non-coding RNA (BNAP_LNC010602)". Lineage: Eukaryota; Viridiplantae; Streptophyta; Magnoliopsida; Brassicales; Brassicaceae. The record is from RNAcentral.
GGCACCGCUCCGGCUGGUGAGUCUCCAGAGGCGGUUGAUGCAUCUUUCGCCGUUGAAUUAGUGAAUCUGAUACGUCUUCUUCUCCUCGUGUUCGUCUCGGUGAAGCUCUCUCUCUCUCUCUCUCUCAAAAAAUUUCAAACUCUUUGCGCUCUGUCCCCUUCACCAGAAGGUAAUAGUUAUAUCAUAUAACCAAGAGAACACUGAGACGGUGUCGUUUUUUGAUCCCUUCCUUAAUUCACUCAAGUUAAUUAAUUAUCUUCUCCUAAGAAAACCUAUAUAAUCAUGUAAAUGGACAGACACAAAAAAAGCUAAUUAUCCCCAUAAGACUUUUGUCGCAUGUAUUUUUAGGGAAAUAAAUUUAUUUUUUUUGUUAGUAAUUUUUUGAUUGGAUGGAGUGGACUGACGACUUCGUAGCUAUUGGCAUAAGGUUAAACUCGUGGGACCCAGGCAUGACGAAUAUUUCAGAAUGUGUGAGAAGAGAACCCAUCACUUUCAGAAGCUCUAGAUCAUGGCAGUGCCCACCAACCACUAGAAAGAACAUCCCACGAAUAUUUUUUUUCUUUUCGUGAUCUAAAUUACAAAUCAAGUGUGGACGCCGCAAAUCAAAAUAAUAAUGCUAUUUUCUAGUUAAUAAUAAUCUUUCAAAGGAAUUAUUAGUGUUGUAUAUUUUUAGUUUAUACUCCCUCCGUUUUUUAUUAUAAGUAGUUUAAAAAAAAAUUUUGUUUCAAAAUGUAAGUAGUUUCUAAA